Molecule: long non-coding RNA, 5879 nt
Organism: Equus asinus (donkey)
Lineage: Eukaryota; Metazoa; Chordata; Mammalia; Perissodactyla; Equidae
Source: Ensembl
GAUAACAUCAAGGAAUUAUUUAAUUUUGUUGGGUAUGAUACUGGCCUGGUGGUUAUGUUAAAACAAAAAUCCUUAUGUUAGAGGUACAUAUAAUAUACACGUUUCACGCAUAUUAUAUACAUAUAUGUCUAUGUCUAUAUGUAUUAUAUAUAAAUAGAAGGAUCUGAUGAGAUCUGGCAUUUGCUUUAAGUUACUCCAACAUUAAAAAUAAAUAAAAGAACAAAGACAAGUCUGGGGAACGGGGAUAUGUGAGGCAGGAGUAGCAAGAUGUUGUGGUUAUUGAAGCUGGGUGAUUGGUACACGGGCGUUCACUGUUCCGUUCCAUCUACUUUUGGGUACGUUUGAAAUUUUCCAUUGUAAAACUCUGUUUAAGAGAGCAAAAUAUGUUGGCUUAGCAACAGAAAAAUGUACAUAUGUUCAGCCGAAGACACGAACAGAAAUGUUCGGAGCGGCACUAUUUAUAACUGUCCCAAACUGGAAACAGCCCAAAUGUCCAUCGACAGUAGAUCGCAUAAGUAAAUGGUGGUGUUCGUAUAACGGAAUGAAUAGCGUGGCUGAAUCUCAGACAUGACGGAUGGGUAAAGACGGCAGACAUAAAAUUGUGCACACGGUCUGCUUCCGUUUAAUACAAAAACAGGAAAACUAUGCUAUUAGAAGUGAGCACAUUGUGGGUAGACUCCGAAAAGAGGCAGGAAGAGGCUUCAGGGGCCAGGGCCUGUGUUAUUUCUGGAUUUGGGUGCUGGAUAGAAGAAACAGUGAUGGGGGUCGAUGCUGACGUCCUGGGCCAGCCCGGCGAGAUGCCUCCAGAGCAGCAGUUUCCCCGCGGGGGCCACCGGCGGCUUCAGUUUGGUGCUUCUCCUGGCUGUGUAAGCGCUGGGACGGGUUCUUGACCCUCUCGAGAUUCCAUGAGUGCAUUAGCCAGGGUUCUCCAGAGAAUCAGCACCAGGAUACAUAUGAGGAGAUGUAUUACAGGAAUUGGCUCACAAGAUUAUGAAGGCUGAGAAGCCCCACAGUCUGCCACCUGCAAGCUGGAGACCCAGGAAGUCGGUGGUGUCACUCAGUCCAAGCCCGAAGGCCCGAGAACCAGAGGGGCCGAUGGUGUAAGCCUCAGUCUGAGUCUCAAGGCCCGAGGAGCGACGAUGUCCGAGGGCAGAAGAUGGAUGUCCCAGCGCAAACAGAGAGCAGAUUUGCCCUUCUUCCUCCAUCUUUGUUUGCUUUUAGGCCCUCACCGGAUUGGGUGAUGGCCACCUGCAUUGGCGAGGGGGCCUCCCAUCCUCAGUCUACGGAUCCAAAUGCCAAUCUCUUCCAGGAACGCCUUCACAGACAGACCCAGAAAUAAUGUUCCACCAGCUACCUGGGCAUCCCUCAGCCAGUCAGGUUGACAUAGAAAAUUAACCAUCACAAUGAGUCACCUAAAAUGUUCUAGAAAAUUCCUUUUCUGCUUAAACAAAAGCAGAGUAGUUUCUAUCUAUACAAAUAAUACUUUUCUGUUUGUCCCGCUUUCUAUUGUUUUUCUCCUUCCUUGCUUUCUUUUUGAAGGAUUGAGUUUUAUGCUUUUCUUUAUACCUGGUUUGGAAGUUAGACACUAUUUCUACUCUUUCUGAGAUUGCCCUGGACAUUUUUACAGUCUAAGCUUAGUCAAGAGAUCUAUCUCCCUUCAAACAAAGCCUAAGAACCCUUAAAUAACCACGGUUCCCUCUCUGUUACUCCGUGUUUUUGUUCGCCAGUACUUUAUCUUGACCUUUUAAGAACCACCCCCAAAUUAGACAUCAUCAUCAUUAAUGAAUUUGCUCCUCGUUCCUUUUCGUCUCAGACCUCUCCUCUGGAGGCAUUUUCAUUCUUUCUGAAGUUCGUCUUCUAGAAGCUCCUUCUGCCUGUCGGUGAUAAACUCCCACAUUCUGUUGGUCUCAAUGUCUUCACCUGGUUUAGGGCGGGGAUGGCUGUCCCCACUCACAGGGCUGUGGGGAGAAUCAAAGUCGCUCCCCGACGGGCAUUCUCUGUGGCCCUAACACCCUGGGAAGACGGAGUCGGCCUCAGUCAGGCUCUCCGCUCCGGCCAGGCUGCGUCCUGGCCCUUCCCGCAACACCCAUUCCCCCCGCCCCAACUCUUGACGUACCAGAUGCUGCCAUUUCAGGUGAUCCUUGUCAAAAUCCCUUAGCCUGCCGUUCCAGGCCCCGUAGCUUCCAGACUUAACAUGCCCCUGCCUGACACAGACACACCACGUUACCUGCCCAUCCUCAGGCCCGUGGUCUUUCCCUCUUCUGUGCACCUGCUCCACGGGGCACUAAGAGAAAUAAAAUUGCCCUCUGUGCCAGUGUAUGCCCCACCUUGGGGGGGGGGGACAGACAGGAGGGGUUCCAAAAAGUGUCUGAUUUGUCAGCCCUGGACAGAAAGAAAUGGGGAACCAAAAAAGGGGAGGACCUCCGUGCCGAGGCCCCCUCUCGCAAAGCCUUGUGUGGCCACGGACGGUAAAGAGGAUUGAUAAGACAGACCUUGAUGGGCAAAAUGCUAAAUUGUAGGAGACAUAAGGUGACUGCGGGCCCCACGUGAAAGAGGAAGGCACCUGGCUUCAGAGACGAGGCCAGUGAAGGGAGGCAAGGCAGACAGAGGAGUCCGAAAGCUUCAGCAGUUUCUAGCAGAGGAACAAUUGAAACAGCGGGGUGAAGGAGGUCCCCAGGAAGCAGAGCGCUUUAGAGACUGCCCUGUGGUGUCACCCACUCCCCCCGCCCUACAACGUCCCCGUGGCCUCUGGAAUCCCAGGCCGUUUCCUGAAGAGGGUUUUGGGAGGGGAAUGCACAGUUACAGAUCCUACUAUGUGAGCCCAUGCGCCCUGAUUUGGGUUCUUUAAAACUGACAGAUGACUGGGGCAGCUCCUCACCUCUCUCCAGGUGCUCUGAGCGCUCUGAGCACACGCUUCCGUCCGCGUGUGCUGCACGGGUGGGGGACCCAUAACGCCUGGUCGGUGAAUUCCCCUCUGUGGAACUUGUGUUCCCAGUGGAGGACCAUCACAAGCGCUGUCGGGGCACUUGGAUCCUCGGGCUAGACUGAGACCGCUGUCGUGUUACCAGAGUGUGUAGCUGGGAUGCAUGGUUUGGGUGCUGCCGCCCGGGGACACUUGCUGGUUGGAUGUGUUUAUUGUGACCCCUGCUGGUAGCUUCUAUAAAUGUCGACUGAAUAUGGAGCCAGGAACUGACUACACCUCGUCCCCUGGGCCGAGGUCAUGCAGUGGGAACCACAGUGCACAUGACAAGGAGGAAGAGAGUACUCUUCUCAUACAAGAAUUAAGGAGAACCGAGUGAUACGCAGUACUAGCUCCACAUUUAGCAACCUGGACUAGUUAGUUACAAAGGUUUCUGGAACUUGGCACCUCACGGUGAACUAGCAAGGGUUCAUAAGGACGUGGACAUCUGGGCAUCAUCAGGCUCCAUCAUAACAAUAACUGAAAAGAUUGCCGCCGCCACUGGCACCUGGUAGACAGCCUUGGACAUUGAUAAUACUUUAUUCCUGUGUCACCAGGCAAGGCAGGCAGUGUGCCUUUACACCUUCCAUGGGGACUUUGGAUUCUCUUGCAAUAUGUCAUCAAUGGACCAAACUUGAGCACAACACAAGCCACUUGGUGGCAGUCCUGACUUUCCUUUACGUCGAUGAUAUUCUGACAGCAGUUCCUACUGAGGAAACUGUCCACACUGCCUUGCAUGCUCUGCAGGUACAGGUAAGCAGACAUGGUUGGGCCUUGAAGGCAGACAGAAUCCAGGGUCCUGCAACCCAAGGGACUUUCUUAGGAAACAUCUGGGCAACUGCUAAAGAUAAAUUGCUGGCCUGACGCCUCCAACCACGAAGAAAGAGGCCCUAUACCAACUUGGCUUCUUUGUACGUAUGGCUUCUUUGAGUAUGAAGGCAGCAUACUCCACGUUUAGGAAUUUUACUAAAGCCUUUGUACUGGACCAGCAGACAAGAGACCAAGUUUGAACGGGCCCCUGCAACAGGAAGCCUUGGAAGAUCAGGAAGCUGUCGACCGAGCCCUGCCACCAAGCCCAGUCUCCUUCAGAGGCCAUGGAAUUCACCUCAGCUUUGGAAAUUACAUCCCACCAGCACUCACUGGCCCCAGGGCUUUUGCAUUUAUGGACUUGCUUCUCCUACUGAGAAGUGCACACUCUCUAGAAUCCCAUACGUAUCCUCUCAGCACGUAACAGACUUGUGCACGCUGGCCAGAUUUCAACAGCAAGCACCUGCCGUUGCCUUUGCCUGAGGACUUUCCCCGGCCACUGAAGCCAGCUCACCUACUGGUCCACCGGCACAUGGGUGGGCUGGCAGCUAACGCCUCCAGGAGCAGCCCGCCCACAACGGCAGGUGGGAGCUGACAGGCAAACACCCGGCUGCCUUGCCCCACAGGGGGCUAUUGUUGAAGUGUCUCAGACACUGGCUCCCAGAGUUCUCUAUGCAGGAAAUUUCCCGUAUGGUCACCUGUAGUUUAACCCUGCUAGAGAACUCAGCCUGAGCUGAAAUAAAGAACACAAGAGACAGGAUAUACGACAGAAGGAAUACAAUUUAGAAAUGAAACAGUGACUAGAAGACUAGAUUGAGAAAACCUUGUAAGAGGAAGGACUGAAGAAAUAAAAUUGUAAAAGAAAAGCUAAGAGAUAUAGAAGAUACAAGGAAAGGUGCUAACGUCUGAAUAAUGGGAAUUCUACAGAGAAAUAUAAACAUGAAAGGAGAAAAUAUUUGAAGAAAUAACGGAGACAGAUUUCCUGGAGUAAUACAAAUAUGAAGCACCUUGGAUCAAAAAAGUGCAGAGUGCCAAAAGGGGGAAAAAAGGAAUAACUCGCAGUUACACACGUCAUCCAGGACGUUAAGGAUAUCAGAGAUAACGCUUACAGAGAGAAAAGCAUAUCACACAUAAAGGAAAGAGAAUCAGGCUGACAUCAGACUUUUCAACAGCAACACUGGACACAAGAAGAUAAUAACAUAGUAUUUGCAAAGUAUUGAAGGAAAAGAAGUUAGAAUCUAGAACUUUAUAUCCACCCAAACUGUCAUUCAAAUAUGACAGAUGGGUCUCAAUAUUCCAAUUAGCACCAUGAGUUAAAUGGACUAAAUGUAUCAGUUAAAAGAAAAUUAGUGAUUCAACUUUGAAGAAUCCAGAUCCACACAGAGACAUCUAAAGCAAGGGACCAUGCACAGCUUGAGAGCAAGAGGAUGGACGAUGACUUGUCAGGCAAAAAUACUAACCCAACCAGAAGAAACGUGGGGCAGCUACACGAACAUCAGAUGAAAGAAACUAAGAUAAGAAGCUUCUGUAGGGAUGGACAGAGUCACGCUAUAAUGAAGGGUUCGAUUCACAAAAAGAGAUAGCAAUUUUAAACAUGUUGUGCUAAAUAACAUAAACUCCAAAUAUAUUAAGAAAACAUGGACAGACUGUAGCAAGAAGUCAUGAAAUCCACCACAGGGAUCCGCUGUCGGUGAAUGUGGAUCAGAGCAGCCACUCCGGAAAACAGUGGGCAGCACUGCCUAAAGUCGUGACAGAGCGAGUUCACGCCUAGGUACCGUCCCAAGAGAAGCUCUCCCACCCGAACAAAGACACACGUGCAAGAAUGUUUACAACGGCAGAAAAAUGGGAAGACGUGGAGGGCCAGCAGCAGAAGACUAAACGGAUAAACCGUCCCGCAAGGAAACAUUGACAGUCAAAACAAACGAAGACCAGCAACACAGAGCAAUGAGCGGGACCACAGUAAUACAAUGACGGAAGUUAAAGUUUGAAAAUUCCCUAAAUAGUUUGGGAUGGGGGCGGAAGUAAAACUGAAAGCUAAUUAGUUCAGCACACAACCACAAGGGCUAUGAGAAGGACGACAGAAUGAGCCCAAGGGAGGAUAAGUAAAGUGGAA